This 460-nucleotide ribosomal RNA is filed under the name uncultured bacterium. RNAcentral describes it as "partial 16S ribosomal RNA". It matches the Rfam family "Bacterial small subunit ribosomal RNA", at positions 338 to 795 of the family's 1533-position model. The record is from RNAcentral.
CCUACGGGAGGCAGCAGUGAGGAAUAUUGGUCAAUGGACGAGAGUCUGAACCAGCCAAGUCGCGUGAAGGAUGACUGCCCUAUGGGUUGUAAACUUCUUUUAUAUGGGAAUAAAAUGUUCCACGUGUGGGAGUUUGUAUGUACCAUAUGAAUAAGGAUCGGCGAACUCCGUGCCAGCAGCCCGGGUAAUACGGAGGAUCCGAGCGUUAUCCGGGUUUAUUGGGUUUAAAGGGAGCGUAGGUGGAUUUUUAAGUCCGUUGUGAAAGUUUGCGGCGCAACCGUAAAAUUGCAGUUGAAACUGGCGUUCUUGAGUACAGUAGAGGUGGGCGGAAUGCGUGGUGUAGCGGUGAAAUGCUUAGAUAUCACGAAGAACUCCGAUUGCGAAGGCAGUUCACUGGACUGCAACUGACACUGAGGCUCGAAAGUGUGGGUAUCAAACAGGAUUAGAUACCCUGGUAGUC